This 693-nucleotide ribosomal RNA is filed under the name uncultured bacterium. RNAcentral's name for it is "bacterial SSU rRNA". It matches the Rfam family "Bacterial small subunit ribosomal RNA", at positions 32 to 715 of the family's 1533-position model. The record is from RNAcentral.
AACGCUAGCUACAGGCUUAACACAUGCAAGUCGAGGGGUAACAAGAGAAAAGCUUGCUUUUCUUGUUGACGACCGGCGCACGGGUGAGUAACGCGUAUCCAACCUGCCUAUAACUAGGGAAUAACCUUGCGAAAGUAAGACUAAUACCCUAUGAUUUCCUUGAUGACAUCAGAUUAGGAAUAAAGAUUUAUCGGUUAUAGAUGGGGAUGCGUCUGAUUAGCUUGUUGGCGGGGUAACGGCCCACCAAGGCAACGAUCAGUAGGGGUUCUGAGAGGAAGGUCCCCCACAUUGGAACUGAGACACGGUCCAAACUCCUACGGGAGGCAGCAGUGAGGAAUAUUGGUCAAUGGGCGGAAGCCUGAACCAGCCAAGUAGCGUGCAGGAUGACGGCCCUAUGGGUUGUAAACUGCUUUUAUACAGGAAUAAAGUUAGCCACGUGUGGUUAUUUGUAGGUACUGUAUGAAUAAGGACCGGCUAAUUCCGUGCCAGCAGCCGCGGUAAUACGGAAGGUCCAGGCGUUAUCCGGAUUUAUUGGGUUUAAAGGGAGCGUAGGCCGUCUGUUAAGCGUGUUGUGAAAUGUAGAUGCUCAACAUCUGAAUUGCAGCGCGAACUGGCAGACUUGAGUGUGCGCAACGUAGGCGGAAUUCGUGGUGUAGCGGUGAAAUGCUUAGAUAUCACGAAGAACUCCGAUUG